UAAUUGAAGAGUUUGAUCAUGGCUCAGAUUGAACGCUGGCGGCAGGCCUAACACAUGCAAGUCGAGCGGCAGCACAGAGAAACUUGUUUCUCGGGUGGCGAGCGGCGGACGGGUGAGUAAUGCCUGGGAAAUUGCCCUGAUGUGGGGGAUAACCAUUGGAAACGAUGGCUAAUACCGCAUGAUGCCUACGGGCCAAAGAGGGGGACCUUCGGGCCUCUCGCGUCAGGAUAUGCCCAGGUGGGAUUAGCUAGUUGGUGAGGUAAGGGCUCACCAAGGCGACGAUCCCUAGCUGGUCUGAGAGGAUGAUCAGCCACACUGGAACUGAGACACGGUCCAGACUCCUACGGGAGGCAGCAGUGGGGAAUAUUGCACAAUGGGCGCAAGCCUGAUGCAGCCAUGCCGCGUGUGUGAAGAAGGCCUUCGGGUUGUAAAGCAC
This 436-nucleotide ribosomal RNA is filed under the name Vibrio vulnificus. RNAcentral describes it as "bacterial SSU rRNA". It matches the Rfam family "Bacterial small subunit ribosomal RNA", at positions 1 to 433 of the family's 1533-position model. Lineage: Bacteria; Pseudomonadati; Pseudomonadota; Gammaproteobacteria; Vibrionales; Vibrionaceae. The record is from RNAcentral.